UACAGAGGGGGCAAGCGUUGUUCGGAAUUACUGGGCGUAAAGGGCGCGUAGGCGGCCUGCCAAGUCAGGGGUGAAAGCCCCCAGCUCAACUGGGGAAGUGCCUUUGAUACUGGCGGGCUCGAGCGAGGCAGGGGUCGUGGGAACUUCCGGUGGAGCGGUGAAAUGCGUUGAUAUCGGAAGGAACGCCGGUGGCGAAAGCGCACGACUGGUCCUCUUCUGACGCUGAGGCGCGAAAGCCAGGGGAGCAAACGGG
RNAcentral lists this ribosomal RNA (253 nucleotides) under uncultured bacterium. Its description in RNAcentral is "partial 16S ribosomal RNA". It matches the Rfam family "Bacterial small subunit ribosomal RNA", at positions 524 to 776 of the family's 1533-position model. The record is from RNAcentral.